Long non-coding RNA from Nyctereutes procyonoides (raccoon dog), 501 nucleotides. RefSeq lists it as uncharacterized. The record is from RefSeq and is a predicted model, not a curated record. The transcript is spliced from 3 exons. NCBI's taxonomy places the organism in Eukaryota, Metazoa, Chordata, Mammalia, Carnivora, Canidae.
AAGCUAAGGAUGCAGUGGUGAUGUAUCUCCUAUCCCCAACUGGGUUCCUGGACAUCCUGGGUUUUAAUUUUAAUCUUUCCACUACAAGUAGUCACACACACAGAGAGAGAGGCAGAGACACAGGCAGAGGGAGAAGCAGGCUCCAUACACCGGGAGCCCGACGUGGGAUUCGAUCCCGGGUCUCCAGGAUCGCGCCCUGGGCCAAAGGCAGGUGCUAAACCGCUGCGCCACCCAGGGAACCCAGGUCCUGGUGACUAAGUCCCCAUGGUCCACAUACAGCUGUGUUGGAAAUUAGCACUGCAGAGCCACUCGAGACCAGGAAUCAAAACAAGAAUUUAGUUGAGAUGAAAGGUUACGACCUUUAUCAGGAAACUGUGUCCUACCCUCACAAAGGAACAGCUGGGAUGAUCUACAGUAAGAGGUCUGUCUGGUAAUGAUAAUUAUUGAAUUACAGCUACCAGCAGCCAUCUAGAAUUCUGGCGGCACAGAUGAAGACCUACA